UACGUAGGGGGCAAGCGUUGUCCGGAAUCAUUGGGCGUAAAGAGCGUGUAGGCGGCCCGAUAAGUCCGCUGUGAAAGUCCAGGGCUCAACCCUGGAAUGCCGGUGGAUACUGUCGGGCUCGAAUCCGGAAGAGGUGAGUGGAAUUCAUGGUGUAGCAGUGAAAUGCGUAGAUAUCGGGAGGAACACCAGUGGCGAAGGCGACUACCUGGCCUGUUCUUGACGCUGAGGCGCGAAAGCUAGGGGAGCAAACGGG
This 253-nucleotide ribosomal RNA is filed under the name uncultured bacterium. RNAcentral describes it as "partial 16S ribosomal RNA". It matches the Rfam family "Bacterial small subunit ribosomal RNA", at positions 524 to 776 of the family's 1533-position model. The record is from RNAcentral.